This 59-nucleotide transfer RNA is filed under the name Habroteleia persimilis. RNAcentral describes it as "tRNA-Arg". The record is from RNAcentral. Lineage: Eukaryota; Metazoa; Arthropoda; Insecta; Hymenoptera; Scelionidae.
AUAAAUGAAAAUAGUUUUAAUUUCGACUUAAAAUGUAAGUAUAAUAUACUUCAUUUAUA